GACGAACGCUGGCGGCGUGCCUAAUACAUGCAAGUCGAACGCUGAAGGAGGAGCUUGCUUCUCUGGAUGAGUUGCGAACGGGUGAGUAACGCGUAGGUAACCUGCCUGGUAGCGGGGGAUAACUAUUGGAAACGAUAGCUAAUACCGCAUAAGAGUAGAUGUCGCAUGACAUUUGCUUAAAAGGUGCAAUUGCAUCACUACCAGAUGGACCUGCGUUGUAUUAGCUAGUUGGUGAGGUAACGGCUCACCAAGGCAACGAUACAUAGCCGACCUGAGAGGGUGAUCGGCCACACUGGGACUGAGACACGGCCCAGACUCCUACGGGAGGCAGCAGUAGGGAAUCUUCGGCAAGGGACGGAAGUCUGACCGAGCAACGCCGCGGGAGUGAAGAAGGGUUUCGGAUCGUAAAGCUCUGUUGUAAGAGAAGAACGAGUGUGAGAGUGGAAAGUUCACACUGUGACGGUAGCUGACCAGAAAGGGACGGCUAACUACGUG
RNAcentral lists this ribosomal RNA (495 nucleotides) under uncultured bacterium. Its description in RNAcentral is "partial 16S ribosomal RNA". It matches the Rfam family "Bacterial small subunit ribosomal RNA", at positions 28 to 507 of the family's 1533-position model. The record is from RNAcentral.